Molecule: non-coding RNA, 24 nt
Filed under: Arabidopsis thaliana (thale cress)
Lineage: Eukaryota; Viridiplantae; Streptophyta; Magnoliopsida; Brassicales; Brassicaceae
Source: RNAcentral
ACCAUUACCUUCACGUGCUCUUCC